RNAcentral lists this ribosomal RNA (253 nucleotides) under uncultured bacterium. RNAcentral describes it as "partial 16S ribosomal RNA". It matches the Rfam family "Bacterial small subunit ribosomal RNA", at positions 524 to 776 of the family's 1533-position model. The record is from RNAcentral.
UACGUAGGGUGCAAGCGUUGUCCGGAAUUAUUGGGCGUAAAGAGCUUGUAGGCGGUUUGUCGCGUCUGCUGUGAAAUUUCGGGGCUCAACCCCGAACUUGCAGUGGGUACGGGCAGACUAGAGUGUGGUAGGGGAGACUGGAAUUCCUGGUGUAGCGGUGAAAUGCGCAGAUAUCAGGAGGAACACCAGCGGCGAAGGCGGCGCUCUGGGCCGGAACUGACGCUGAGGAGCGAAAGCGUGGGUAGCAAACAGG